RNAcentral lists this ribosomal RNA (497 nucleotides) under uncultured bacterium. RNAcentral's name for it is "partial 16S ribosomal RNA". It matches the Rfam family "Bacterial small subunit ribosomal RNA", at positions 28 to 507 of the family's 1533-position model. The record is from RNAcentral.
GAUGAACGCUGGCGGCGUGCCUAAUACAUGCAAGUCGAGCGAACAGACGAGGAGCUUGCUCCUCUGACGUUAGCGGCGGACGGGUGAGUAACACGUGGAUAACCUACCUAUAAGACUGGGAUAACUUCGGGAAACCGGAGCUAAUACCGGAUAAUAUAUUGAACCGCAUGGUUCAAUAGUGAAAGACGGUUUUGCUGUCACUUAUAGAUGGAUCCGCGCCGCAUUAGCUAGUUGGUAAGGUAACGGCUUACCAAGGCAACGAUGCGUAGCCGACCUGAGAGGGUGAUCUGCCACACUGGAACUGAGACACGGUCCAGACUCCUACGGGAGGCAGCAGUAGGGAAUCUUCCGCAAUGGGCGAAAGCCUGACGGAGCAACGCCGCGUGAGUGAUGAAGGUCUUCGGAUCGUAAAACUCUGUUAUUAGGGAAGAACAAAUGUGUAAGUAACUAUGCACGUCUUGACGGUACCUACUCAGAAAGCCACGGCUAACUACGUG